UCAAGUGGGGCCCACACCUCUAUUUCUAAAGAAUAGAAGCAACCUUUCUCGCUGAAUCAUAUGUGUGAACAUUUGGAUACUCUGCUGACCCAUUAAAAGAAGAAUGUUGACUUGCCUCAGUUCUCUUGUUCUAUGACUGAUGACCGACUUAAUGUGAAGCCUAUACACUUCACAUUUAGAUGUAGGUAAGUUCUGGCAAUGCAAAACGUGGUGCUCAGUUAGGUUGCACCAAAAUCUGUUUCAAGUCUUGUAUACCUAUAAUGGUUUCUUUAGUUGGGAUAUGUUCAUGGUGUGGAAAGAGAUUAUAUGCAUGUGGAUAUAAAUGUUAAUUAUUCUUAUGUUAUAAUCAAACUGGUUAAUUUUUUAGCUGUUCUGAAGUAGCAAUUUGAGGUGUUAGACAUGUAAUCUUUUCCUACCAUGUUCGAUGUGUCUGCAUAGCUUUGUUCAAUGAUGGUGGAAAAGUUAUUUGGGUCGCCUUCCUUUGUCAUUGUUCUUGCCGUCACGUGUUUUGUCGCAAUUAUCGUGUGUUAGCGGGAUUGUCCAGAGAACUGGCUCAGGUAUGUUAAGGCUAUCCCUUCUUUCUUUUGGCAUGAUCCAAUUAACGAUAUGUAAAUGUAAUGCAAUUGCAUAAGUGGUUCUACUCUUAGCAGUUAAGGAUGUAUAUGUUAUUCAUUCCCGUAAAAUAAUAUUCAAGCAUGUCUAAGUAUGUAUCUAGUUCCCUAUUGAGGUAUUUGAUAAAGAUGUUAAUAUUUAUAAUAUAGUAAUACAUGCAUCUUCAUGCAUAUUCAUUUACCACCGUGCUACGGCCGGUCGGGCAGUCAUGCAUUUACCACCGGGCUACGGCCGGUCGAGCAGUUACCACCGGUUGGGCAGUUAUGUAUCAUUAUUUACCACCGGUUGGGCAGUCAUGUAUAUUCAUUUACCAUCGAGCUACGACCGGCCGGGAAGUCAUGCAUUUACUACCGAGCUACGGCCUAUUGGGCAGUUACAUAUUUACCACCGAGCUACGGCCGGUCGGGCAGUCAUAUAUUUACCACAGAGCUACAGACGGUCGGGCAGUCAUACAUUUAACACCGUACUACGGUGCAGUUACUAUUGAUCAGUUGGACAGUCAUGCAUCGUACGAUAUGGAUAAUAGUCUCAAAGAGAAGCAUUGUAUAUAUGUAAGUAUAAUAAGUAUGCAUAUACGGUGACACUUCAGAGAUUCAGGUUGAUUCUUAUAUGUCUUUAAUUAAUGUUGACUUACUGUUAUGUUUCAGUUCUACCUUACAUACUCAGUACAUUAUUCGUACUAAUGUCCUUUUGUUGGGUAUGCUGGAUUCAUGCCUGCAUGUAUAGAUAAUCAGUUUGACAAGCCCUCGUAGUAGACGAGAUUGGCAUUCAGCGAAGGAUCCAUAAGACUCCACCUCAUUCGGAGUGCAACCGAGUCUAUGAGUCAUCGUGUCAAAGUUUUACCACAGACUUAUGGGUAGGCCGAUACCCUAUUCCAUUUGAUGUCAAAUAAUCUUAGAGGCUUUGUAGAUAGAGGUUCAUUUUGUACAGUAUGUUAGAGGCCUUGACGGCCCAUAUGUAUUCAUGUUUUAAGAAAAAUGAGUCAGUGAUACAGUGUUUUCCCACUUACGCUUGUACAUUAUGAGUUGUGGCCAUGCUGGCCCAUGAUAGUUAUAAAAGGAAUGAGUUCAGC
This 1684-nucleotide long non-coding RNA is filed under the name Nicotiana tabacum (common tobacco). Its description in RNAcentral is "long non-coding RNA (NTAB_LNC018529)". Lineage: Eukaryota; Viridiplantae; Streptophyta; Magnoliopsida; Solanales; Solanaceae. The record is from RNAcentral.